Molecule: ribosomal RNA, 757 nt
Filed under: Micrococcus sp. 5(2013)
Lineage: Bacteria; Bacillati; Actinomycetota; Actinomycetes; Micrococcales; Micrococcaceae
Description: bacterial SSU rRNA
Rfam family: Bacterial small subunit ribosomal RNA
Source: RNAcentral
GAGUAACACGUGAGUAACCUGCCCUUAACUCUGGGAUAAGCCUGGGAAACUGGGUCUAAUACCGGAUAGGAGCGCCUACCGCAUGGUGGGUGUUGGAAAGAUUUAUCGGUUUUGGAUGGACUCGCGGCCUAUCAGCUUGUUGGUGAGGUAAUGGCUCACCAAGGCGACGACGGGUAGCCGGCCUGAGAGGGUGACCGGCCACACUGGGACUGAGACACGGCCCAGACUCCUACGGGAGGCAGCAGUGGGGAAUAUUGCACAAUGGGCGAAAGCCUGAUGCAGCGACGCCGCGUGAGGGAUGACGGCCUUCGGGUUGUAAACCUCUUUCAGUAGGGAAGAAGCGAAAGUGACGGUACCUGCAGAAGAAGCACCGGCUAACUACGUGCCAGCAGCCGCGGUAAUACGUAGGGUGCGAGCGUUAUCCGGAAUUAUUGGGCGUAAAGAGCUCGUAGGCGGUUUGUCGCGUCUGUCGUGAAAGUCCGGGGCUUAACCCCGGAUCUGCGGUGGGUACGGGCAGACUAGAGUGCAGUAGGGGAGACUGGAAUUCCUGGUGUAGCGGUGGAAUGCGCAGAUAUCAGGAGGAACACCGAUGGCGAAGGCAGGUCUCUGGGCUGUAACUGACGCUGAGGAGCGAAAGCAUGGGGAGCGAACAGGAUUAGAUACCCUGGUAGUCCAUGCCGUAAACGUUGGGCACUAGGUGUGGGGACCAUUCCACGGUUUCCGCGCCGCAGCUAACGCAUUAAGUGCCCCGCCUGGG